Pongo pygmaeus (Bornean orangutan) is the source of this 680-nucleotide long non-coding RNA. RefSeq lists it as uncharacterized. The record is from RefSeq and is a predicted model, not a curated record. Lineage: Eukaryota; Metazoa; Chordata; Mammalia; Primates; Hominidae. The transcript is spliced from 4 exons.
AUUGUUGAUUUCUUCUCUUAAGCCGGAGCUCGGCUUCAGGAGUACUUUUCAAAAUAUCAUGUAUUUUGCUAACUCUAUAUAACUCCAUGUGUCAUUUCAUCCAGAAAACUUGUUUCUAAUGCUUUUUUCUCUGGACUCUAAGCUGGUUGAUGCCACCAGGCCUUGGGAAAAAGCCUGCCUUCUGAUAGGAUUGCUAUUGAGUAGCAAAAAUUCUUGGAUUCUGAUAACAUCUUUCAUGCAGAAACUCAAAGCAUCUCCCAAAUUAUAAGCUCAUUCUUUUACACUGUUCUACACUCUCACACUCUAAGAACAACUCAUUUCAAUCUUGGGACAUUGACCAGAAUUCAGGGAAACUAGCAUGAUCCUUCCACUCUGACGUUUCAUUCCAUCUAUGUCCAAAGCUGUGUCUACAAGGCAUCACCUAUGAGAUAAUAAAACAAACCCUCUGAAAACAGGAAAUUUGCCAGAAGCUGGCAAGCUGGGAAGACAUAAAACCAGGAUUUCAGCCAGAGACAGGGUUUCUCUAUGUUGCCCAGGCUGGUGUUGAACUCCUGGCCUCAAGUGAUCUUUCCACCUCAGCUUCUCAAAGUGCUGGAAUUACAGGCAUAAGCCACCAUGCCUGGCUGCAUGUCAUCUUCUGAGGUAUUAUUUUGAGAACAUAAAUAAAGAAUUCCACAAUC